This 822-nucleotide ribosomal RNA is filed under the name Rhodococcus sp. (in: high G+C Gram-positive bacteria). Its description in RNAcentral is "bacterial SSU rRNA". It matches the Rfam family "Bacterial small subunit ribosomal RNA", at positions 19 to 857 of the family's 1533-position model. Lineage: Bacteria; Bacillati; Actinomycetota; Actinomycetes; Mycobacteriales; Nocardiaceae. The record is from RNAcentral.
AUGGCUCAGGACGAACGCUGGCGGCGUGCUUAACACAUGCAAGUCGAGCGGUAAGGCCUUUCGGGGUACACGAGCGGCGAACGGGUGAGUAACACGUGGGUGAUCUGCCCUGCACUUCGGGAUAAGCCUGGGAAACUGGGUCUAAUACCGGAUAUGACCUCCUAUCGCAUGGUGGGUGGUGGAAAGAUUUAUCGGUGCAGGAUGGGCCCGCGGCCUAUCAGCUUGUUGGUGGGGUAAUGGCCUACCAAGGCGACGACGGGUAGCCGACCUGAGAGGGUGACCGGCCACACUGGGACUGAGACACGGCCCAGACUCCUACGGGAGGCAGCAGUGGGGAAUAUUGCACAAUGGGCGAAAGCCUGAUGCAGCGACGCCGCGUGAGGGAUGACGGCCUUCGGGUUGUAAACCUCUUUCAGCAGGGACGAAGCGCAAGUGACGGUACCUGCAGAAGAAGCACCGGCUAACUACGUGCCAGCAGCCGCGGUAAUACGUAGGGUGCAAGCGUUGUCCGGAAUUACUGGGCGUAAAGAGUUCGUAGGCGGUUUGUCGCGUCGUUUGUGAAAACCAGCAGCUCAACUGCUGGCUUGCAGGCGAUACGGGCAGACUUGAGUACUGCAGGGGAGACUGGAAUUCCUGGUGUAGCGGUGAAAUGCGCAGAUAUCAGGAGGAACACCGGUGGCGAAGGCGGGUCUCUGGGCAGUAACUGACGCUGAGGAACGAAAGCGUGGGUAGCGAACAGGAUUAGAUACCCUGGUAGUCCACGCCGUAAACGGUGGGCGCUAGGUGUGGGUUCCUUCCACGGAAUCCGUGCCGUAGCUAACG